UUUCCGUAGGUGAACCUGCGGAAGGAUCAUUAUCGUAAAACCGAGGUGCGAGGGCUGUCGCUGACCUUUUCGGUCGUGCACGCCCGAGCGCUCUCACACAAUCCAUCUCACCCCUUGUGCACCACCACGUGGGUCCCUUUCUGACUCGUCCGGAGGGGGGCUCGCGUUUUCACACAAACUUGAAGUAGUGUAGAAUGUCCUUUUUUUGCGAUAACACGCAAUCAAUACAACUUUCAACAACGGAUCUCUUGGCUCUC
RNAcentral lists this unclassified non-coding RNA (257 nucleotides) under plant metagenome. RNAcentral describes it as "partial contains small subunit ribosomal RNA, internal transcribed spacer 1, and 5.8S ribosomal RNA". The record is from RNAcentral.